GGGUAGCCCCCAGGGCUUCCCUUGUGCUUCGGCUUCCCUCACAGAGCCCCCAGCCUGUACAAGGAGGAUGAACCCAACGUUUUUGCGGAGCCGGCCGUCCUGGCACAGCAGCUGCUCCCCUUCCUGCUGCAGCUCCUGGAGAAGGUGCCCGAUGCCAGCCCACUCCGUGCCUCAGCCCUGCACUGGCUGGAGGCCACAGGCCCUGGAGUCCUGCGGGACCUGCAGUACUGCAGGCACCUCUGGAGCCAAGAGGCCGUCGCACGCUGGUGGAUGAAGGCUCUGGGCUGUGCCAAGCUGCGGGUGGCCCUGGCUGUGCUGCUGGUGAGGGCCAGGCUGGCGGCCCAUGCGCUGCGAGUGCUGGGCGAGAGCCACGGGGCCGUGCCGGGGCUGGGCUGCAGCUCCCAGGAGCUGGAGCAGGAGCUGGCGCUGGUGCAGGGGCUGCUGGCACAGCACGGACUGGCCCCCACGCCCAGCCAGGGCGAUGCACCGAGGGAACCGGGAUCACUGCCUGGGAACGACUGAUGGCUCCAGGCAUGGAGUGGCAUCACACUGAGCUGGCUCUCGCUGCUGUGUCCCUGCGUUUUUUUGGGUGCUCGCUGCAGCCAGGCAGCAGGUUUGGCAGUGGAACUUGGGGAACCCCACUCGCCGUGUGGGACGUGCUUGCUUUGGAUGCAGCAGUGCUGGUGGUGGGAGCGAGCAGCGCUUUGCUCUUCGGUUCACACGGGGUGGUCGCUCUGCAUCCCAGUGGCACCAGCACAGCAUCACCUCCCUGUGCCUGCUCCCUGCAGCACUCCCUGCCCCCGGGUCCAGCUGGGAGGACAGGACACGCAGCCCUGUCCCCUGCUGGGACACCCGCUGACCGUUUUCAACCAGGAUUUUGGCUCUUUUUGCGGGAGCCUUUUAUCCCAAAUAAAGAACCCCGAAACCACCCCGCUGUCAAAGCCUUUCCAUGGCCUUUCUCGGGGG
RNAcentral lists this long non-coding RNA (966 nucleotides) under Anas platyrhynchos platyrhynchos (common mallard). RNAcentral describes it as "lncRNA (ENSAPLG00000018078.1)". The record is from RNAcentral. Lineage: Eukaryota; Metazoa; Chordata; Aves; Anseriformes; Anatidae.